RNAcentral lists this ribosomal RNA (768 nucleotides) under Funneliformis mosseae. RNAcentral's name for it is "eukaryotic LSU rRNA". It matches the Rfam family "Eukaryotic large subunit ribosomal RNA", at positions 38 to 648 of the family's 3401-position model. The record is from RNAcentral. Lineage: Eukaryota; Fungi; Glomeromycota; Glomeromycetes; Glomerales; Glomeraceae.
GCAUAUCAAUAAGCGGAGGAAAAGAAAAUAACAAUGAUUCCCUCAGUAACGGCGAGCGAAGAGGGAUAAGCUCAAAUUUUAAAUCUGUUGGGUUCCACUUAACAGAGUUGUAUUUUGAAGAAACGUUUUCUGCGUCCAGGAUUAGCCUAAAUCCUUUGGGAUAAGGUAUCAUGGAGGGUGAGAAUCCCGUUCAUGGUUAAUCUUAAGGAAGCUCUACGAUACGUUUUCCAAGAGUCGAGUUGUUUGGGAUUGCAGCUCAAAAUGGGAGGUAAAUUUCUCCUAAGGCUAAAUAUAGGCGAGAGACCGAUAGCGAACAAGUACCGUGAGGGAAAGAUGAAAAGAACUUUGAAAAGAGAGUUAAACAGUACGUGAAAUUGUUGGAAGGGAAACGAUUAAAGUCAGUCAUACCAACGGGGAAUCAACCUUUUGAGCUCGGUCUCGUGGGUUUUGAAGAGUUUCAAAGCCUUCGGAUUCGCGGGAUUGGGAUCUCUUGGCGUACUUUUUCGUACGGUUAGUCAACAUCGGUUUUGAAUGUCAUAAAAUGACUGGAGGAAUGUAGCUUCGAUCUCGUAUUGGAGUGUUAUAGCCUUUGGUAGAUGUGAUGUUUGAGACCGAGGAUUGCAACGGAUACCCUUCAGGGCUAUUCGUACUGAUCUCUGAUACGUUGCCUUGAUGUUGAAAGCUUGCUUAUGAUGUUAGGGUAUUACGGUCAAAAGGUUAGAACGAAUUACAUUCGUUAAGGAUGUUGACGUAAUGGCUUUAAACGAC